This 476-nucleotide ribosomal RNA is filed under the name uncultured bacterium. RNAcentral describes it as "bacterial SSU rRNA". It matches the Rfam family "Bacterial small subunit ribosomal RNA", at positions 328 to 793 of the family's 1533-position model. The record is from RNAcentral.
CUCUGUGACUCCUACGGGGAGGCAGCAGUGGGGAAUAUUGCACAAUGGGCGCAAGCCUGAUGCAGCCAUGCCGCGUGUGUGAAGAAGGCCUUCGGGUUGUAAAAGCACUUUUCAGUUGUGUAGGAAGGUGGUGUCGUUAAUAGCUGCAUUAUUUGACGUUAGCGACAGAAGAAGCACCGGCUAACUCCGUGCCAGCAGCCGCGGUAAUACGGAGGGUGCGAGCGUUAAUCGGAAUUACUGGGCGUAAAGCGCAUGCAGGUGGUUUGUUAAGUCAGAUGUGAAAGCCCGGGGCUCAACCUCGGAAUUGCAUUUGAAACUGGCAGACUAGAGUACUGUAGAGGGGGUAGAAUUUCAGGUGUAGCGGUGAAAUGCGUAGAGAUCUGAAGGAAUACCGGUGGCGAAGGCGGCCCCCUGGACAGAUACUGACACUCAGAUGCGAAAGCGUGGGGAGCAAACAGGAUUAGAUACCCUGGUAG